Non-coding RNA from Echinostoma caproni, 85 nucleotides. The record is from Rfam. NCBI's taxonomy places the organism in Eukaryota, Metazoa, Platyhelminthes, Trematoda, Plagiorchiida, Echinostomatidae.
GGCCUCGUAGCUCCGCUGGUAGAGCGUGCGCUGUAAAAAAAGCGUAGGCGGUGUCCAUGCGUGGGUUCGAAUCCCACCGAGGCAA